GUUGAGCCCCUGCGCCUGCGUCCGGGCUUCAGGGAGUCCCGGCAUGCCCCGCGGCAGCUUCUGGGUCAGCGCGCAGGGAAAAGGUGGCGUGGCCGGGAGCAGGGCCCGGGGUGAGCGGCAGGACUGUGAGGCAGGAGCUGACGAUAGGCAAAGCCGAGGAUUUGCGUGUGAUGAGGUCAGCGGUGAAAUGGGCACGCUCCAACCCAGGGUCCCUGGAGUCCCCCGCUGUUCCCACACUGGCUCAAAAGGCACCGCCCUCACGGCAGAGGCCCAGAAGAGGUGGCAAGAGGAAAGGCAAGUGGGGCAAGGAGGCGGAGAGGCCCAGCUCAGUUUUGGCUCUGGCCACCCAUCGGGCUCCUUAAACUGAGGAACCACAGCAGGUGAGUGGGAAGCAGGGCAUCUGUGGGCUUUGGCCUGCUUCUCUGGGUGUGAGAAGACUGGGUCCUCUGUAUGGGAAUGGUCAGCAGUCCUUGCAAAAAGAAUCCUGUCCGUUAGGAAAUGAGGUCAGUGGUUAAGAUGUUUCAGUGAGGGAUAUAGGAACCAUGUGGAGAGUCCCAGUAUUUCCUAUACAGGGGGGAACAGCGGCUUCUUCAUGGUCUUAGGAGGGGCUGAGCCAAACCAGGAGGGUCAUCUACACCUGAGAGCAGAUCUGUAGCCUUGGAGGUGUUAUCUCGCGUACACUUACUUCAAAUUCAUUCUCUUGUGGGAGUGCGGCGAUCAGGCCGUGUUAGUCCGUGCAGGUGGGCAGUAAGGUGUCAGACGUAGGAAGUGAAAGGAAGGAAGGGAAAGAGCCGCUCCAUGUGGGGUUGGGGGAACAUAGGGAGGAGGUUGGAUUAAUGACAACUCGGAAGACAGGCCCUGCCGAGCUGGGUCACAUCGUGGGGGUGUUGGAGUUAGGUGGUGCUGCCCACUGAUGCUGGUACUUUGGAGGCAUCUCAUGAGGAGAUUCUGGAAGAAACAGUGUCUGCUCCACUGACUGCUUUGUGUCUGGCUGCUACAUAACCUGGUAUGUUAUAGGGAAUCGGAUGUUUCCCGAAUGAAUGAAUAAAUGAAUGUAUUCUCCACUUCUUAUGGUCUCCUCCAGACUGUGUGGGGUAGCUGACAGGCCAGGGUCUGGAACUCUCGCACAGUCUUCCUUUCUGUGCCCGGCGGACUGGAGCAUGAGACCGUUGGAGGGAGGAGGUGACCUCUACCUCUGACAAUUCAAGGAGUCAGCAGUUGCCCCCGAUGCUUUGGCCCCAGCACACCCUGCAGUGGGAGGAGCCUGUGAGGCCUCACUGGGCCCUCCACCAUUGUUUCCAUGGACCUUAACUACUUUCCUCCUUAACCAGACCCAAGUUGAGUGGGCCGCUAAAGCUCCUCUGUGAACGAUCCGCCUCGGCCUGUCUCCCCCUCCCCACCAUGCAUCUCUGGUCAAGUCCAACGGGUCACACCGAAGCCCAUCUCUUUGCCUUCACCCAGGCUCUCAGAAGACGUUUUGGUUUUUUCCUUCCAGAGCGAAGCCUGUGACUCUGGAAACUGUCCUGCGUGGCCUGUCGCAAGGGCCAUGCUCGAGGACAGUGUGUGCAGGACAUGUGGGGUGCCCAGGCCAGGCUCAACUGGAGGGAGCAUGACGUACAUUCUUACGUGUUGCUUUCCUCAUCCUUGUUCACUAAAAUUAAAAAUACAUGUCAGCUUU
This is a long non-coding RNA of Neofelis nebulosa (Clouded leopard), 1678 nucleotides long. RefSeq lists it as uncharacterized. The transcript has 2 exons. The record is from RefSeq and is a predicted model, not a curated record. Lineage: Eukaryota; Metazoa; Chordata; Mammalia; Carnivora; Felidae.